AGCCACUACCCUCCCUUACGCAGUCGCACCAUAAACCUCCUCACUUUCCCCCACAGCCCUCUGGGCUUCGACCCAUCAACUGAACACGCGCCAAACCUAGCGCACACGCCCCAAACCUAGCGCACACGCCCCAAGUUCGGCCCAAUAAGAGUCCCAAACCGCGGGGGUGGACGCCACGGGGAUAAAUUAACCGCAGCGUGGGGCGGAGACUUUUAAGGGUGGAGCCUGGCCCUGGAGCAACGUCUAGUGAGCUGUUCUGUGAACAUGGGUAGGUUCGGGCGUAGAGCUGGCAGCGGCGAGGUGUGAGCCUGCGCUGGGCGCCGAAAUAGGGCGUGUCAGUUGUUUGGUGCAGGUGUAGCAGGGAACCAGAGCAUCUCUCGCCGCCGGAGUGCGUCUUGCCGAAGCCUGUGGUUGCACGCCCACCCUCUUAGGGGCUCUGCUCUGCGACCAUGUCCAAGUCUCUGGAGAAGUUGGUGGAGGAAAGCCGGUAGGAGAACCAGCCCGAAGUGGACAUGAGUGACCGGGGCAUCGCCAAUAUGCUACAAGUCAAUGCUGUAAGGAAGCAACUGGACAACAAGAAAAUGAUAUUGGCAUUAUUGUACGAGCUCCACAAGAUCUGACAAGUAAUGACAAUUUUAUUUUUUAUGCCAAAAUAAUAGAAGUGAUAAGAUGCCCACAUCAGAGUCAGCACAAAAAGAAGAUACAACAUCACCUUCAGUUUCUGAGGUCACAACUGUGGAUGUGGAAGAGAUAGGAAACCUCGCCACUUAAGAUAGAAGCAGCAGCUGCAUAGUGGUAACAGCAAUGAGUGGAUGUCAAAAGAUAAGUCUGUGUUUUGAUUCUGUCACUUACUAUCUAUGGGAACUUGGAAAAAAUCCUUUAACCUAAUCAAGUACCAGUAACCUUGUUUAUAAAAACAGUGCUCAUAUCUACCUCUUAGGUGCAUGUGAUGAAAUAAUGUUGUAACAAAUGUGAAAACAUUUUGUAAACUGGAAAGUCUGUAUCCAAAUGUAAGACAAAAUGAUCAAAGUGGCAUUUAUGUGAAAGCAGUAUUGUUAGCACAAGAAUGGGGAGUAAGAGCAGGCAUGUGGAUUUCUAAUUUUGGGUAAGGGGUUGGUAACUUUCAGCAGGCUACUACUGCAGAUUUUCCGUAGAAAUAUAGCAGUUUGGAAAAUUAGACUUUCCUGUCGAGAUUUUCAAUGUUUUGACCUGGAGUAAUUUCUUUCUGAGUACCAACUGUGUGCUAGACAGUGAGUCUCUGAAUAUCCAAGAUGAG
This 1276-nucleotide long non-coding RNA is filed under the name Rhinopithecus bieti (black snub-nosed monkey). Its description in RNAcentral is "lncRNA (ENSRBIG00000045522.1)". The record is from RNAcentral. Lineage: Eukaryota; Metazoa; Chordata; Mammalia; Primates; Cercopithecidae.